GUCACGUCAUCCAGUGGGAGGAUCGGACCCAAAUGUCUGAUAUAUAGCAGUGCUCUGUCUGCAUGGCUGCAAAGUGAGUCCAGUUGUCUUUCGGGUUAAUUGUCAUUAUACGGCAGGAGAACAUCUCCAGAAUGAAACUGGCACUGCUGCUAAUGCUGGCCAUGCUGGCAGUGUUCUGCCAUCCCGCUUCACCUUGUGAACUCCUCCAGAAAGUAAUGGAAAGGUUUCUCUUUGGGUCUGUUGAUGAGUUUAUGGAUGCAGUAUCUCCAUUCAUCACAACGCCUGCUAUGAAUGCAAUGGAAAUCAGUUUGAAGAAGUG
This 319-nucleotide long non-coding RNA is filed under the name Gallus gallus (chicken). The record is from RNAcentral. Lineage: Eukaryota; Metazoa; Chordata; Aves; Galliformes; Phasianidae.